GGUAAGGCCCUUCGGGGUACACGAGCGGCGAACGGGUGAGUAACACGUGAGCAACCUGCCCCUGACUCCGGGAUAAGCGGUGGAAACGCCGUCUAAUACCGGAUACGACCCCCCACCUCAUGGUGGAGGGUGGAAAGUUUUUCGGUCAGGGAUGGGCUCGCGGCCUAUCAGCUUGUUGGUGGGGUAACGGCCUACCAAGGCGAUUACGGGUAGCCGGCCUGAGAGGGCGACCGGCCACACUGGGACUGAGACACGGCCCAGACUCCUGCGGGAGGCAGCAGUGGGGAAUAUUGCGCAAUGGGCGAAAGCCUGACGCAGCGACGCCGCGUGGGGGAUGACGGCCUUCGGGUUGUAAACCUCUUUUACCACCAACGCAGGCUCCCAGUUCUCUGGGGGUUGACGGUAGGUGGGGAAUAAGGACCGGCUAACUACGUGCCAGCAGCCGCGGUAAUACGUAGGGUCCGAGCGUUGUCCGGAAUUAUUGGGCGUAAAGAGCUCGUAGGCGGCGUGUCGCGUCUGCUGUGAAAGACCGGGGCUUAACUCCGGUUCUGCAGUGGAUACGGGCAUGCUAGAGGUAGGUAGGGGAGACUGGAAUUCCUGGUGUAGCGGUGAAAUGCGCAGAUAUCAGGAGGAACACCGGUGGCGAAGGCGGGUCUCUGGGCCUUACCUGACGCUGAGGAGCGAAAGCAUGGGGAGCGAACAGGAUUAGAUACCCUGGUAGUCCAUGCCGUAAACGUUGGGCGCUAGGUGUGGGGACUUUCCACGGUUUCCGCGCCGUAGCUAACGCAUUAAGCGCCCCGCCUGGGGAGUACGGCCGCAAGGCUAAAACUCAAAGGAAUUGACGGGGGCCCGCACAAGCGGCGGAGCAUGUUGCUUAAUUCGACGCAACGCGAAGAACCUUACCAAGGUUUGACAUCACCCGUGGACUCGCAGAGAUGUGAGGUCAUUUAGUUGGCGGGUGACAGGUGGUGCAUGGCUGUCGUCAGCUCGUGUCGUGAGAUGUUGGGUUAAGUCCCGCAACGAGCGCAACCCUUGUUCCAUGUUGCCAGCACGUAAUGGUGGGGACUCAUGGGAGACUGCCGGGGUCAACUCGGAGGAAGGUGGGGAUGACGUCAAGUCAUCAUGCCCCUUAUGUCUUGGGCUGCAAACAUGCUACAAUGGCCGGUACAAUGGGCGUGCGAUACCGUAAGGUGGAGCGAAUCCCUAAAAGCCCGUCUCAGUUCGGAUUGGGGUCUGCAACUCGACCCCAUGAAGGUGGAGUCGCUAGUAAUCGCGGAUCAGCAACGCCGC
Molecule: ribosomal RNA, 1290 nt
Filed under: Nocardiopsis dassonvillei
Lineage: Bacteria; Bacillati; Actinomycetota; Actinomycetes; Streptosporangiales; Nocardiopsidaceae
Description: bacterial SSU rRNA
Rfam family: Bacterial small subunit ribosomal RNA
Source: RNAcentral